AGAGUUUGAUCAUGGCUCAGGAUGAACGCUGGCGGCGUGCCUAACACAUGCAAGUCGAGCGAUUUACUUCGGUAAAGAGCGGCGGACGGGUGAGUAACGCGUGGGUAACCUGCCCUGUACACACGGAUAACAUACCGAAAGGUAUGCUAAUACGAGAUAAUAUGUUUUUAUCGCAUGGUAGAAGUAUCAAAGCUUUUGCGGUACAGGAUGGACCCGCGUCUGAUUAGCUAGUUGGUAAGGCAACGGCUUACCAAGGCUACGAUCAGUAGCCGACCUGAGAGGGUGAUCGGCCACAUUGGAACUGAGACACGGUCUAAACUCCUACGGGAGGCAGCAGUGGGGAAUAUUGCACAAUGGGCGAAAGCCUGAUGCAGCAACGCCGCGUGAGCGAUGAAGGCCUUCGGGUCGUAAAGCUCUGUCCUCAAGGAAGAUAAUGACGGUACUUGAGGAGGAAGCCCCGGCUAACUACGUGCCAGCAGCCGCGGUAAUACGUAGGGGGCUAGCGUUAUCCGGAAUUACUGGGCGUAAAGGGUGCGUAGGUGGUUUCUUAAGUCAGAGGUGAAAGGCUACGGCUCAACCGUAGUAAGCCUUUGAAACUGGGAAACUUGAGUGCAGGAGAGGAGAGUGGAAUUCCUAGUGUAGCGGUGAAAUGCGUAGAUAUUAGGAGGAACACCGGUUGCGAAGGCGGCUCUCUGAACUGUAACUGACACUGAGGCACGAAAGCGUGGGGAGCAAACAGGAUUAGAUACCCCGGUAGUCC
Molecule: ribosomal RNA, 760 nt
Filed under: uncultured bacterium
Lineage: Bacteria
Description: bacterial SSU rRNA
Rfam family: Bacterial small subunit ribosomal RNA
Source: RNAcentral